AAGAAUGGAUUGAAAUCGACAUCCUCUUCUUCUUCCUCCUCAUCACUAUUUUCAUUCUCAUUCUCUCCCGCGACCAUAGGACUCUCGUCACUGGGUGAACCAUAUCGUGGUUCCUCCGGUUGGUCAGUCUCAGUCAUGCACGAAGGCAUCUUAAACGAGAAAUACGAAAAUGAUCCAAGGUAUUGUCCCUAAGGCCUAAAACCACAUUCCAACACACACACGCAAUUAACAAACCCGACGAAACUAAUAAGCGAUACCAAUCCAGGAGCACGAUUUCAAACCUAACCCAAAUCAAAGGAGUCCAAUGCUACGAAAUUCUCUGAAGCUUUAAUUCACGGAAAG
RNAcentral lists this long non-coding RNA (342 nucleotides) under Linum usitatissimum (flax). Its description in RNAcentral is "long non-coding RNA (LUSI_LNC001168)". Lineage: Eukaryota; Viridiplantae; Streptophyta; Magnoliopsida; Malpighiales; Linaceae. The record is from RNAcentral.